UCCUCCUAACUCUCCUCAAGCCAAACCCCCACCACCACCCCCACCGGACCCUUUCCCAUUAACCUCUUCGUCUUUGCUUUUCUCCCAGUCGUCCUCAGUCUUUUCCCAGACAGACUCCACAGGUCAGCGGUUGAAGGCUCUCAGGUCAUCUGACAUCGGCACCAUCAGUCAUGUGCAGAGGGGCCAUUCUCUGGAGUAGGACCCGCCCCCCCCCAGUGACCAUACAAGUUCUUUAGAGAAGCAAACGGGAAGAUCCGCCACUGAGACCUUCACUCCAAGACCAUGACAUGACGUCUCCAAACAAGAAUGCUGCCUGAUCAUUUACUCACAGAUGGAUGGGAGCUUUCCCAAGAGGGGUUGCCAUGAAGAUGAGCUGACCUCCACUCACUGUUGGACACUCCACACUCUGAGUUAGGUGAGAUGUGCAUGUAAGCAGAUACUAGGUGAGUAUCAUACACACAGACACAUACAUUUGCACUUGUGACGCUAUCAUUUUUAAGAUGUCAAAUUCUCCUACGAGCAAUUGAGUAACAUUAUCUGAAAACUUGUCUAUGUGUGUGUAACAUGAGAGAGAACAGCAGAGGAAGUUUGAAUUAUGAUGGUCCACUGAGGGUUUCAGUCAUUUCCUGUUUACCCCUCCCACGUAAAAGUGUCUUUGCAAUUUGAAUUUGCUCUCUCUCUCGCUCUCUCUUUAUCUCUCCAUCUCUCCCCUCCCUCUCUCUCUCUCUCUCUCUCUCUCUCUCCCGUUCUCUCGCUCUCUCGCCCUCUCUCAGGCGGUCCCUCCCUGCGGCCCAUGGUGCAGUGCUGCAUCUCUGGUCAGUUGGUAGUCUGAGAUGAAGCACUGUAGCUCGGGACGGAGGACUGCGUCACGGGCCUCAGCGCGGCCAGGUCUCCAAUGACCACAUCAACAAGGAUCAGGCGAUUCAACUAAGGGCAAUUUGGAGGAUUUUCCGUAUAACUGGGCUUUUAAUAUUGAAGGGGGGAAAAAAUAUUACUGAAAUAUUCUAAACUGAUUACCUGAUUACUACUUAAAUACUUAGUACUUAAAUUAGUAAAGUAUACGGGUGCAUCUCAUUUAAUUGAAAUGUGGAACGUUAACUUCUUUCAAAAGGGGGUGCUCAUUUAUUAUAUCAAUUCAGUCACCAAAUAAAACACUACACUAAUGAUUUACUUUUUAAAUAAUUCUAAGAUUAUAAAAUCAUCAGUUGCUUAUAGCUAAUGAAAACAUCAAAUUCACAACAAAUUAAAAUGCCACAAGAACCGAUCAAAAUUAUUAUUAUUAUUAAACUUAGGCAGCAUUGCCUCCUGAACAGCAUUUUUCAAUGUGUUUCAUAUUAAGCUCAAGGGCUGUUGUUCCUUUCAGGUGGCUCAAGGAAGCUUAUGUAAUAUAGUUCACUUUUAGAAUUAGCAACUGAAAUAUAUUUACUUUUCUAUGGUAUUAACUUUUCUAUGGUAUUCAUGUUUAUUGAGAUAUGCGUUUUAUUUAAGACAUUAGAUUCAUUGCAUAAUUUGUCCCAUGGCACCUGCCCCAUGAAUACCUUAAACUUCACGGGAAGAUACCGGUCUGGAAUUUUCUUCUUGAUGUUGUUUUUCCCAAUUUUUCUCUCUCCUGGGGUCCAGUUUUCCCAGGAAUCCCUUGACCCAUCCAAAAAGGGGAUUCCUGGAAAUACUGUUCUUAGGAGCGAGGCCAAGCGACUAUUUGUUAAUCAGGGGCUAAUAAAAUUUGAGUGUGCGUCAAAAUCAAAUUAAGGUGAGUUUUAAUGUUGAAUAAACGAAAUGGAAAUAUUGUUGUGCGUCAUGUUUCAUGGCAAAAUUACCACACUGUAUAAUAAAAUUCCACGAUGAUGAUCCCCA
Syngnathus acus (greater pipefish) is the source of this 1854-nucleotide long non-coding RNA. RefSeq lists it as uncharacterized. The record is from RefSeq and is a predicted model, not a curated record. The transcript is spliced from 5 exons. Lineage: Eukaryota; Metazoa; Chordata; Actinopteri; Syngnathiformes; Syngnathidae.